RNAcentral lists this long non-coding RNA (1533 nucleotides) under Homo sapiens (human). RNAcentral's name for it is "non-protein coding lnc-CTH-12:1". Lineage: Eukaryota; Metazoa; Chordata; Mammalia; Primates; Hominidae. The record is from RNAcentral.
CAAAUGUAGAUCUGAAACUUUAAUAUGGAUGAGAAUCACCAGAGGUCUUCUAAAACAGAUUGCUGUCUCUCUUCCCACUGCACCCCAUAGUUGCCAUUUCAUAGGUCUGGAGUGGGGUCCCAAUAACUUGCAUUUUUAAUGAGUUCCCAGGUAAUGCUGAUGCUGCUGAUCUGGGGGCAAUACUUUAAGAACCACUGGACUGUAACAAUGUCAAACCUGCCUGAUGAGAAGAAUCACCUGGAAGGUUUAAAAAAAUGCAAAAUCCUCGGCCCCAUGCCAGACUUUCUGACUCAACCUCCAGGGAAGAGCCUAAAAUUUUCUAUUUCAACAAUCCUGCCUGAUUAAUAUGAUUAGCAAGAAUUUGUUUGUACCAGCUCUAUGCCAUACACCGUGAUAGACACACCAGACGUGGAAGUGAGAAAUAUGGUUCCCAUCUUGGAUAGCAAAGAAGAUGGACAAAUAAACCAACAAAUUAAACACAGAAAAACGUUUUCUAAAGGAAGGAGGUUUCUUGAAGGAAGUGGUACUUCUGUUGAAAUAUGAAAGAUGAGUGAGGGUUAGUCACAUACAGAAAGGGAGAAGGGAGUAUCCAAUGUAGAUAGAACAGCAUAUGAAAAGCACAGAGAUGUGAGAGAGCAGGUAGGCAUUGCUGUAAAUCCAGGUGGAUGUAAAAAAAAUCAGAGCCUUGCAGGAACUAGGUUGUAGAAAGCUCUGUGGACUAAGUUUAGUUGGUUUAACUUUAUCCUAAAAGUCACAGGAAAAUAUUAAAGAUGUUUAAAAAAGAAAAAAAAGCAGAUUUUCAUUUUAUUAACAAAACAUAACUCUGGCAGCAGGUGUGGAAAAUGGAUGGAGGGGCCAGGACCAGAAGAAAGACACCUGUUACUGAAGCAAUGCAGAUGGGAAAUGAUGGAGACCUAGAUGUAGACCAUGCCAGCAAAGACGGAGGGGCAGAAUUGAGUAAUACUUGUAGAACUAAUGUAACUUACAGGAUGAUUAGAUACAUAGAAAGGAGACUAACUCAAUCCUUUAUUUUUCUUCCUUUUUCAAAAGUUUUUUUAAGACUAUAUUACUAUCUUUUCCCCAUUCCCUCCAUACUUAAUAUGACAGUUAGCUAAUUUUACUUGAAUACCUAUGUCUUAUUCUUUACCAACACCAUCAAGCAGCAGCAUCUCCCUACCACCACCACAACAAGCAGCAAGUGUUUAUGGAGCACCUCUUAAUAAAUUAUCCUUUGUCUUGUUUUGUGACAAAUUUACAUUCCUCUCUGCUUUACUUUUGCUUUAUCCUGUAUUUUUCAUUGUUCUGUGGUUUAGCGUGUAUUUUCUUCUGCUCUUCCAGGACCAUAGGAUUUCAGAGCUUGUUACUUAAGUUCUCAGGUUUUUGAUAUGUACUUGGAAUUUUAUUUUUUACUACUUUCUCAAAGUAAUGCUCCACAAAUAUUUCUUAUGUAAUUCCAAUGCAUCUAAAGAGAUUUAGCAUUUGAGUUUUAUGUUAAACCAAUAAACUGAUUAAAGCCAUAAUUAGCAAUCACCA